GCUGCAGUGGUGAGCCUGAGUAGCUCUAUGGAGGAAAGGUAUUAUUAGCUGCUAUUCAGCAUUCUCCUUCUUCAGAGUGUUCCACACUGAUGAGAUCCUUCUGAGUCUUUGUCUAAAUAUAUGUUUCUAGAAACUCUGGCUCGUUGCUCUUAUUUGCCAUUCCAUUCAACCAUGUAUAGACGUGUCCAACUGCUCCCAACAUCAUUGGAUUUCUAUACACCGCAAGAGGAAGUCAUGGACACUUCUUCAAUCAUAUGACAACCAAAUACACAACCCAAGGACUAAUAUUUGGCCAUCUUUGUUUAAGAUGAAUGGCAUCUUAAAAAUUUACGUCAUGUACAGUAAUCAUCAUAAUCAUAUGGACAGCUCCUGCCAUAGUGUCUUUAUUCAUGACUUUUGCCCUUUAUUCUUGAUUGAUAAGUGACAGCUUUGCAUUCUGGACCUUGAAAUAUAUAUUUACAGUAGUCUAAGAAAUUUGUCCUUAAUCAAAGGAGGCUUGACUUGCCAGCACAUCUUUAGAAUAUUAUUGAGUAACUCAUUAAAAUGUUAAUAGCUUCUGUCAGGAUUUAUUGAUCCUGAUGUCAGCUUUUCUCAGAAUAAGA
Molecule: long non-coding RNA, 602 nt
Filed under: Gallus gallus (chicken)
Lineage: Eukaryota; Metazoa; Chordata; Aves; Galliformes; Phasianidae
Source: RNAcentral